This 1008-nucleotide long non-coding RNA is filed under the name Monodelphis domestica (gray short-tailed opossum). Its description in RNAcentral is "lncRNA (ENSMODG00000030157.2)". Lineage: Eukaryota; Metazoa; Chordata; Mammalia; Didelphimorphia; Didelphidae. The record is from RNAcentral.
UAGGCCAUGGGGGUUAAGUGACUUGACUGGGUCACACAGCUAGUAAGUGUCUGAGGUCAGAGUUGAACCCAGGACCUCCCAUCUCUAUCCACUGAGCCACCUAGCUGCUCCUUCAUUUGGAGCUUUUUACCUGCAUUUUGGAAAAGGUUCAGGUAGACAAGGCUAGGAACUAGGAGUGUUGGAUUCUGGCCCCAAGUCCUCCACCAUACGUAGAUCCUUUAGGUAGACAUCCAACCUCUUCAGGUCUAAGUAUCAUCAUUUGAUACCAUGAGGACAUCCAGACUAGAGCAUGUAUCAGUUAUGAUGUCCACUGCUAUUAAAUACAAGGAGCCUUAACUCACGCUGUCCCUCUCCAGCCUUCCGGCACACAGUCCCUGUGCUCCAGCCCGGCCAGACCAUCGUCCUCUCUGACCUGGCUCUGUGAAAUGGGGCUAAAACCCAAAGAACGCUGACUCUGGAGUCAGAACCUGUGUGCGAAUCCUGGGUCUCCACCACAUACUACCUGUGUGAUGGCAGAUAUGGAAACAGAGACAAACAGGAAUAUAGUUACUUGCCCAGGUCAUAGAGAUAGCAAAUGUCUGACAGGAUUUGAAAUCAAAUCUUCCUGAUUCCAGGCCCAGUGCUUUAUCCAUCAUGCCACUCAGAGGAUCAGAUUUGUUUCCAUGAGGAUGUGAGGGAGGCUAGGUCUACAAAAGCUGAAGACAAGUACUGCUGUAUCCUUUCUGCAUAGCCUUGUAGUGUUAGGACAAAGAAAACCUCCUUUAUUAAAUGUUUCGUGACUUACAAGUUCCUCAUUUUGUCCCCAAAUUGAACCUGAACUAAGAGAGUGCUGGCCUUCAACAAAUCCCUACCUCUCCCAUGAGGUUUUACUUCACUGCCCCAGCCUUUCAACUUUCAACUAUCAUCUCUACCAUUCAUUUUCUACUUAACUUAUGCUACAUCUAAUUGCUAGUCACCCUUUUAUUUGUCCUGCCUUUCCAACUGGAUAGUAAAUACUUUGAAAGUAGG